GGAAUAUUGCACAAUGGGGGAAACCCUGAUGCAGCGACGCCGCGUGAAGGAAGAAGUAUUUCGGUAUGUAAACUUCUAUCAGCAGGGAAGAAAAUGACGGUACCUGAGUAAGAAGCCCCGGCUAACUACGAGCCAGCAGCCGCGGUAAUACGUAGGGGGCAAGCGUUAUCCGGAUUUACUGGGUGUAAAGGGAGCGUAGACGGUAAUGUAAGUCUGAUGUGAAAGCCCGGGGCUCAACCCCGGGACUGCUCUGGAAACUAUUUGACUGGAGUGCAGGAGAGGUAAGCGGAAUUCCUAGUGUAGCGGUGAAAUGCGUAGAUAUUAGGAGGAACACCAGUGGCGAAGGCGGCUUACUGGACUGUAACUGACGUUGAGGCUCGAAAGCGUGGGGAGCAAACA
RNAcentral lists this ribosomal RNA (399 nucleotides) under uncultured bacterium. Its description in RNAcentral is "bacterial SSU rRNA". It matches the Rfam family "Bacterial small subunit ribosomal RNA", at positions 358 to 774 of the family's 1533-position model. The record is from RNAcentral.